Molecule: ribosomal RNA, 2138 nt
Filed under: metagenome
Description: bacterial LSU rRNA
Rfam family: Bacterial large subunit ribosomal RNA
Source: RNAcentral
GAGUAGGGCGGGACACGUGGUAUCCUGUCUGAAUAUGGGGGGACCAUCCUCCAAGGCUAAAUACUCCUGACUGACCGAUAGUGAACCAGUACCGUGAGGGAAAGGCGAAAAGAACCCCGGCGAGGGGAGUGAAAAAGAACCUGAAACCGUGUACGUACAAGCAGUGGGAGCACGCUUAGGCGUGUGACUGCGUACCUUUUGUAUAAUGGGUCAGCGACUUAUAUUCUGUAGCAAGGUUAACCGAAUAGGGGAGCCGAAGGGAAACCGAGUCUUAACUGGGCGUUAAGUUGCAGGGUAUAGACCCGAAACCCGGUGAUCUAGCCAUGGGCAGGUUGAAGGUUGGGUAACACUAACUGGAGGACCGAACCGACUAAUGUUGAAAAAUUAGCGGAUGACUUGUGGCUGGGGGUGAAAGGCCAAUCAAACCGGGAGAUAGCUGGUUCUCCCCGAAAGCUAUUUAGGUAGCGCCUCGUGAAUUCAUCUCCGGGGGUAGAGCACUGUUUCGGCAAGGGGGUCAUCCCGACUUACCAACCCGAUGCAAACUGCGAAUACCGGAGAAUGUUAUCACGGGAGACACACGGCGGGUGCUAACGUCCGUCGUGAAGAGGGAAACAACCCAGACCGCCAGCUAAGGUCCCAAAGUCAUGGUUAAGUGGGAAACGAUGUGGGAAGGCCCAGACAGCCAGGAUGUUGGCUUAGAAGCAGCCAUCAUUUAAAGAAAGCGUAAUAGCUCACUGGUCGAGUCGGCCUGCGCGGAAGAUGUAACGGGGCUAAACCAUGCACCGAAGCUGCGGCAGCGACGCUUAUGCGUUGUUGGGUAGGGGAGCGUUCUGUAAGCCUGCGAAGGUGUGCUGUGAGGCAUGCUGGAGGUAUCAGAAGUGCGAAUGCUGACAUAAGUAACGAUAAAGCGGGUGAAAAGCCCGCUCGCCGGAAGACCAAGGGUUCCUGUCCAACGUUAAUCGGGGCAGGGUGAGUCGACCCCUAAGGCGAGGCCGAAAGGCGUAGUCGAUGGGAAACAGGUUAAUAUUCCUGUACUUGGUGUUACUGCGAAGGGGGGACGGAGAAGGCUAUGUUGGCCGGGCGACGGUUGUCCCGGUUUAAGCGUGUAGGCUGGUUUUCCAGGCAAAUCCGGAAAAUCAAGGCUGAGGCGUGAUGACGAGGCACUACGGUGCUGAAGCAACAAAUGCCCUGCUUCCAGGAAAAGCCUCUAAGCAUCAGGUAACAUCAAAUCGUACCCCAAACCGACACAGGUGGUCAGGUAGAGAAUACCAAGGCGCUUGAGAGAACUCGGGUGAAGGAACUAGGCAAAAUGGUGCCGUAACUUCGGGAGAAGGCACGCUGAUAUGUAGGUGAAGUCCCUCGCGGAUGGAGCUGAAAUCAGUCGAAGAUACCAGCUGGCUGCAACUGUUUAUUAAAAACACAGCACUGUGCAAACACGAAAGUGGACGUAUACGGUGUGACGCCUGCCCGGUGCCGGAAGGUUAAUUGAUGGGGUUAGCGCAAGCGAAGCUCUUGAUCGAAGCCCCGGUAAACGGCGGCCGUAACUAUAACGGUCCUAAGGUAGCGAAAUUCCUUGUCGGGUAAGUUCCGACCUGCACGAAUGGCGUAAUGAUGGCCAGGCUGUCUCCACCCGAGACUCAGUGAAAUUGAACUCGCUGUGAAGAUGCAGUGUACCCGCGGCAAGACGGAAAGACCCCGUGAACCUUUACUAUAGCUUGACACUGAACAUUGAGCCUUGAUGUGUAGGAUAGGUGGGAGGCUUUGAAGUGUGGACGCCAGUCUGCAUGGAGCCGACCUUGAAAUACCACCCUUUAAUGUUUGAUGUUCUAACGUUGACCCGUAAUCCGGGUUGCGGACAGUGUCUGGUGGGUAGUUUGACUGGGGCGGUCUCCUCCUAAAGAGUAACGGAGGAGCACGAAGGUUGGCUAAUCCUGGUCGGACAUCAGGAGGUUAGUGCAAUGGCAUAAGCCAGCUUGACUGCGAGCGUGACGGCGCGAGCAGGUGCGAAAGCAGGUCAUAGUGAUCCGGUGGUUCUGAAUGGAAGGGCCAUCGCUCAACGGAUAAAAGGUACUCCGGGGAUAACAGGCUGAUACCGCCCAAGAGUUCAUAUCGACGGCGGUGUUUGGCACCUCGAUGUC